UUAAGCUCUCGUAUCGUAGUAGUAGUAUGUAGGUUGUCGAGUGCUGCUAUUUUUUUUUUGGAGGAACUGGGUGCUGCUAUGUUUUUGUACGGUCCUGAUUGUACAUCGAGGGAUGUAGUGUGGUGAUCCGUGCUGUAAAAUUUUGUCAUGUUUACGGAAAAGGGUCUAAGUUUAUCCUUUUUCUUAACUUCAUGUUCUAUCCUUUUCAGUCACAUGCUUCAGUUGCUGAAGAAAAUAAAAGAGCACCACUGCUGAGGGAGGUGCGGUGACCCGUGCUGUCUGUCCAGUAACUCUUUUCCUGGGUCAUUAAUUUUCAAUCAUAUUUGCAGAGAAUGAUUUUCAACUUUUUUGAUUUUUUAAAGAUAUGUGUUGGUUUUUUGGGGGGAAAUGAUUCAAAUCACCCGAACGAUGCGUGCGCCCACCGGCUUUGUGGCUGUCGUAUUUGAUUUUUAUCAUAUGACUCUCGGGAGCAACGUAUUACCUAGUUUAGAUUUUGCAACUGGGCCUUUGUUGCAAUCUUCCCCACCACAAUAAGUAAUGUGGUGUGGGAUCUGGAUCUGGAUCCUCUUGUGAGCAGUCACCUUCCGUGCUCUCUUGAGCUUCUCGUGAAGCCGAUGCCUCCAUGCGCUGCUCCGACCGCCGCCGCCGGUAGCACGUCGACGAGAUCUCCUCUCCCUGUCUCCAUGUGUCUGCAACCAGUGGCCAUGGCCGCUCGAGCACGCCAGAGCUUCACUCCGGGCUGUCGCCCAACUAUGAUGCUCGGCCCCCAUGUUGCAUCGCCUCCACCAUCACCUUUAUUGCAUACGCAAAACACCCCUUCUCCCUUCCCCAACCAGAGAAGCCCCGGCUCGAGGCCAUGACUGCAAGCAAUGCAACGUAGUGACUUUCUGCAACAAGACAUUUGUUGUAAAAAAAAAUUACAAUAAGAGCUCGGUUGCAAAAAAAAAGAAAAAAAUCUUAAAAAUAUUCUACAACAAGAGCUCGGUUGAAAAAAAAAUUCAAAAAAAAUUUCACAACAAGACCUCUGCAACACAAUCUUUCUUACAAAAUUUUCUGCAACAAGAUUUGUGUUGCAAAAGGGUUCUCACAACACGACUUCUGUUGCAAAAGUACAAGGACGCUUGACCGGGAGUUGCGUCAGAUCGGACGGCUCGGCGGAGGCCGACACGUAGCACGACCAUUUUGUUUGAGCGGUAGAUCUUUGUGUUGCUUUUUUUCUUUUAUUAGUGGUAGAUCUUUGUGUUGGUCUUCAUCCUUUUUGGUCAUGCUGCUUCCGUUGAAGGAGGAAGCUUCAGCGCUGAGGCAACAAUAGCCCAGUCCCGAGCCCACGCGUGGCCCAUGCCUAAAACCAGACUUGUGUGGCGUACAAAGUUACGAACAGUCCCGCACGCUCACGGCAGCCGCCCCCGCCCGCAUGGUUUCGCUUGGAGGAAAAGGGAAGGAAGAGCACACGCUCGCUCCAGAUAGAAAAAGAUCAGCGCCGCGCUCUCCAUCUCCAGUCUCCUCUCCACUGCCCCGCCCCGUCUCGGUCUCACUCCGCGGCAACCUGCCAACAAAAUCUCCGGACCCCAAACAGCGGACGGAAUCCCAGUAGAGCCCUUCUCCCCUCCUCGUCCUCCGCCGCCCCCCUCUCCGCGCGCGCCACCAUGUCGUCGGCGUGGGCCGACGCGGCGCUGCUCCUCGCCUCCCCGUCCCCCUCCUGCUCCCCCCUCGCCAGGCCGCGCUACGGGCGCCUCCGCAAGGUACGCCUCCUCCUCGCCCGCCUCCCGACGGCGCCCCUGUCGCCCGUUUCCUAGUCCCAGGCACUGAAGCGGGAUCCAACUCGUGGUUGCCGGAUGGCCUGACGCUCGACCGGUUGUCCCUGUACCCCUGCGUACAUUUGCUUUGCUUUGCUUCUGUGAGCUGUAACCGCGCAUCUGAGCAGCGCCGCGCCGAGGUUCGUGUGCUGUCGGCAGCGUGUUGCGUCAGGGGUAACGACUUGGCUGACGCGCUUGCUCAUGCACAAUAGGCUGUGGCGUUUAGUUGUUGGCUUGCUUGGGUCUAGCUCCCACGGCAGGGCACGUCAUGCGUGUUAGUUUGGUUAAUCUUCAUCUACAAUUCAGACUUAGUCUAGCGGAAAUGGCACCAAUACGUGCGUGGUGAAACUCUGAACAAGAAGCAUGCCUGAAUUUGCUUUUGUUCCUGAAAAAAAACUCACGGAAUUGUUAUGUGCUCCCUCCGUUCACAAACAUAACAUGUUUUGGAUAUCUCAAUAUGGACUACAUACGGAUUGGAAUGAGUGAUCAAACACACUAAAACGUGCCUAUAUACAUCUGAUUUGGAAAAAGGUUAGAACAUCUUAUAUCUGUGAACGGAGGGAGUAGCUGCCUGCCUAGAGUGCCAUAGCAUUCGAUAUGAUGUAUUGCAAUUUGUUUUAAUUGUUCAUGAUGCCUAUAGGAAUUGUUUUUAAUUGUUCAUGAACGCAACAUUAACUCUUUUCAUUUAUUUAUUUACAAGCGUUUCUAUAAUUUCACAUUAUCUAUACUCUAUGCACCUGGUUUCGACAAGUAUUCUGGUGCUCCUGUUAUGCUCAACUGCUCACAUCUGAUGCGUUUGCUAAGGGUUGAUUGUGCCCAACACUUAAAGUGAUCUGAAAUUUUUAUUUCGCAUUGCGUGGUGACCGAUGGUCAUUGAAUUUUGUCUUAUCUUUUGCUCUCAAACUGUUCUGCUCAACUCGUGUAUUUUCAGUUAAUAUCUUUAUUUUACCCGUGCUGCAUUUGCAUUUCAAUGUCAAGUCUCUAAACGUCCUAUAUAUUAGUUUAAAGAGGAAGUAAUUCCUUAGCUGAAUGGGAAAUACCAUGAUAUUAUAUUGGAGUUUAACAUCUCCCCGUUCAAGUUUCAAUUGCUUUUUUGGGUCAACUGGAUGAUGUUUCUUUGUUUCACAGGGCUUUCCUUGUACCACUCGUUCUAAAGCUGGAUUCCAAAUCAAUCAUUACCAAGCAAGGAGCUUAAAGGUUGAAGCAAAGAUGGAUUCUGGUGAUGGCGAGACACAACUCGCUCCAGUUAAAUUCGAAACCCCAAGUGGUCAACUUCUGGCGCAGAUACUGCAAUCGCAGCCUCACCUAAUCCCUGUAACAGUUGAUCAGCAACUUGAAAACCUGACAGCAGAGAAAAUUGCCCAAAAGGAAAAGGCAGCAAAAGUUCCCGAGGACCUCCUUUACAAGUAAGUACCAAUAAUUAUAGGAAUUGUUUUCCCCACAUCAGCAACAAAUAGUGACGCGUCAUAUCUGCUAUAAAACAUGCUGCUAUGUAAAUGUUGUAGAAAGGAGAAGACAUUAGAUAUUCUAUUUGACUCAUAUCAGUUAAUAAUGCAUCAGUUAACGAAUUAUGCUAAUUGAACUACAGGCGAAUUGCAGAAGUCAAAGAGAAGGAAAGGCAGAAUACCCUGGAAGAGAUCAUCUACUGCUGGAUUUUGUUCAAGUUCAUGGAAAAUGACAUACAAAUGACACCUGCAUUAUCAUCAUCAGGUGGCCCUGUACGCGAUGUCUCCUCGUUGCCUAACCAGGAGUAUAAGCUGCAAAGCAUACACUCUCAAGACGCUCUUGAGAUGAUACAGAACCAUCUCAACCUUAUCAUGGGGGAGCAGGCAGCGGCGCCACUAGAUACCGUUGUUGAGAUCAGCAACUUAAAUCUCGGGAAGCUCUACGCAGCAUCCAUCAUGUAUGGUUACUUCCUCAAGAGGGUGGACGAGCGAUUCCAACUCGAGAAAACCAUGAAGACACUCCCGCCAAGCCUCAACGAAAAACUAUUUACGGAGAGAGACAUUAAGCCUAAUCCAUUCAUGGACAUGGAGUCCCUGGUACGGAUGACGCCUGAUGGGGAGAUGGCUGAUGUGGAGGAGGACGAGGAAACGAACCCAAACAAGUUGAGGUCCUACGUUUCGCGGCUGGACGCCGAUACGUUGCAACGGUACGCUACCAUCAGGUCCAAGGAAUCGGUCUCGCUGAUAGAGAAGCAAACGCAGGCUCUGUUUGGGCGGCCGGAUAUCAAAGUGCUGGAUGAUGGCUCUGUUAAUGCUAAAGAUGGUAAAACCGUAACGCUUACGUUUACAGAGCUCACGCACCUUGUCCUGGAGGCGGCUGGUUUUGGGGCCUUUUUGUGGGAGGCUGAGAGCCAUGUAGAAUCCAAAUACCAUUUUGUUAACAGUUGAUUGUGCGUUUUGUUAAUCUGGAAAUGGGUUUCUGUGAAUUUGAUAGGGUAGGAUCCAGUCCAUCUCUGGUAUGCCUUUUCAGUGUAGCUGAUGCUCUUGCUCUUGUUUGCUCUCUAUCAGCAGCAGCCAAGGGGCACGAAUCAAACCAUCACUGUCCAUGGCUGAUGGCUCCAUGGCCCCUCAGUCACAGAUCAGAUUGUAAUUUAACAGAGGAAUGGAAAAUGUUUCUUCCUAUGAUAUACUCCUCCGUCCCAAAUUACUUGUUUUAUUAGAUAUAUAUGUCCCUCCUAUCCAUAUUACAUCUGUAUCCAGACAAAUCUAAGACAAGUACCCCCUCCGUCCGGAAAUACUUGUCCUAGUAUUAUUCUCUUUACAACAGUUGUACUCCGUAUCUAUACCAAUAUAAAAAGACCCAAAGGGGCAGAUCCAAACCAUCUCGACCGUCAAAUCAUGUUAUCUAGCGGUUUAAAUCGCUCCAAUGUUGAGCACCAAACACGUUUAACGCUCUAAUUACCCACCACUGCCAUUGGUUAUAAACACGUUUUGACUACACGCUAUCCCAUGAAAUCUGCUAUGUAAUUAAUAUCCUACCAUUUCCGCGAAAAAAGUAAUGUUAUCUUACCAAAUACCAACGUGCAACAGAUAUAUCCUACCUAAUAUAACGUGCAACUAAUAUCCUACCUAAUAUAAACGUGCAUUGCACGUAUAUUAUUACUAGUAUACUGCUAGUAAAAAAAGCCUUUUUUAGUUUUUGCGUCUUUGUCUCCAGCUUUCUGUGCACCUUUCAUUCCCAACUUGUCCCUGGCGAUUGCUUAUGAACGGGACAUCCUAAUCGUCGCUUCAGGCACAAGUUUAGGUAGGAACCUGGCGCUCACGCAGCUGCUGUCAUGGGCCCAACAAGCGCUGCUGGCUGCUUCGUUCGCUCAGGCACGCCCAAGUGGGCCGCGGCUGUUUUUUGUAUUGUUGAUCUUGUAAAAAAUAAUCAGAAGGUUUUUUAGUACUUACGAAAAAAAUUGUAAAAUUAAAAAGGGUUUACAGAUUUUAAAAAUAGCCAUCCAUUUGAAAAACAAUUAUCGGUCUUGUAAAAAAGUUCAUCAAUUUUUAAAAAAGUUUAAAAAAUCGACAUAAGUUCAUUGAUUUUAAAAAAAGUUAAUCGAUUUUGGUAAAAAGUUCAUCGAUUUUCAACAAAAGGUUCAUCGGUCUUAAAAAAAGGCCAUUGAUUUUGAAAACAAUUCUUGUUUUUUUAUAAAAACUUCAUGGAUUUUGAAAAAAGAUCACAAAUUUAAUAAAACGGAAAAAGAAAAAGGAAAUAAAAAUAAAAGGAAAAACUGAAUAAAAGCAUCCAGAAACCAGUUAAAAAAACUAAUCAGAACUUCGAGAAAGCUCGUCGGAAGCUUCUAGAAGCUUCACAAAACCGAUUGAGUUUCUUCCUGAAAAAACAAAUGUCCAGGUGAGAAAGUAAAAGAAAGAAAACCUCUUUUUGGUGCUACUAUUUUUUUGCAUGGUAAUAAGUGUCUCAUUAAUAAAAUAAUGAUUCAAUUACAAGCCAUGUAAACACCAAUAUUACAGGGCUGAAAAGAUAGAAUAAUCCUACGCAAAAAGACUACCCUCUGCCCCUCUCCACCAAGGAAAAGGAGACAGAUCACCUCUUCACCCGAGCUUGAUGCGGCUCCAUCACUGAUUUGUAGCUUUACGAGCCUCCAAGAUAGUUUGCCUGAAGCAAAACCACUACCGUUGAAAGAAUCAGACCGGGGCAACGUGUCCCCGGACACACCAUCGAACUCUAGAACUAACACCCCCGGACGACUACGACUUCGGAGAAGGAAACCAGAACUGUCAGCCUCCAACCACCAACCCAACACUAGAUGCACCUUCUUCCCACUGUUACCUGCGUAGACAACCGUCUGCGCGUACUCCCGGACGACAGAACCUCACUGGUCCACCGCGACGCCGGAGACAAUGCUGCAGCAACAGGGGUAGAGCAGAAGAACAGACACACCUGAAGGGGUCGCCGCCGCCGCCUCGCUGACACCAUCCAUGAACACCAAUGUCACCGAUCCGAAGGAUCGGCAAACAUACGAUGCCAUCAACUCUGAGACGCCGCCAUGAAGGACAUCGACGGUGUGGGAGUGGAGCUGAGGCAGAUUUACUCGUCCGGGCGCCGCUCCCACCACCUCAACGGCGCACCACGACCUACAAAACCAAACCCUAACUACAGAGCGGAGGAACGGCCCCCUCCCUUCUCCUGCCGGAGCAGCAGUCGGAGGGAGAGGGGACCAGCUCUGGUUCGUGUAGAUCAGAGGUAGAGGAUUUGCCGCACAACGAAAAGAAGAUGAAAAAGUAAAUACACACCAAAGGCGAGCUAUCCAGGUUGGUUAUACCGGUUACUGCUGAAGCGUGAUGUUUGGAGUUCGGUCCUCAACUUAGGCAGAAUUUUUGAAGUUUGCAGAAACAAAAAAAAAA
Molecule: long non-coding RNA, 6652 nt
Filed under: Triticum aestivum (bread wheat)
Lineage: Eukaryota; Viridiplantae; Streptophyta; Magnoliopsida; Poales; Poaceae
Description: long non-coding RNA (TAES_LNC024614)
Source: RNAcentral